Molecule: ribosomal RNA, 293 nt
Filed under: uncultured bacterium
Lineage: Bacteria
Description: partial 16S ribosomal RNA
Rfam family: Bacterial small subunit ribosomal RNA
Source: RNAcentral
GAUUAACGCUGGCGGCGUGCCUAACACAUGCAAGUCGAACGCCCUUUUGCGCAAGUGAGAGGGAGUGGCGGACGGGUGAGUACCACGUGGGUACCUACCUUGAGGUGAGGAAUACCACCGAGAAAUCGGUGACAAGACCGCAUACGCUCGGGCAACCGAGCAAAGUCAUGCAAAUGACGCCACAAGAUGAGCCUGCGCCUGAUUAGCUGGUUGGUGAGGAACAGCUCACCAAGGCGACGAUCAGUAGCUGGUCUGAGAGGAUGAUCAGCCACACUGGGAUUGAGAACGGCCCA